RNAcentral lists this ribosomal RNA (856 nucleotides) under uncultured organism. RNAcentral describes it as "SSU rRNA". It matches the Rfam family "Bacterial small subunit ribosomal RNA", at positions 38 to 891 of the family's 1533-position model. The record is from RNAcentral.
UGCGACAGGCUUAACACAUGCAAGUCGAGGGGCAGCACGGUGUAGCAAUACACUGGUGGCGACCGGCGCACGGGUGAGUAACACGUGUGCAACCAACCCCGUACCGGGAGAUAACCCGCGGAAACGUGGACUAACAUCCCAUAAUACUGGAGGAUCGCAUGAUCUUUCAUUUAAAAUUCCGGUGGUACGGGACGGGCACGCGCGACAUUAGGUAGUUGGCGGGGUAACGGCCCACCAAGCCGACGAUGUCUAGGGGUUCUGAGAGGAAGGUCCCCCACACUGGAACUGAGACACGGUCCAGACUCCUACGGGAGGCAGCAGUGAGGAAUAUUGGUCAAUGGGCGAGAGCCUGAACCAGCCAAGUCGCGUGAGGGAUGAAUGGUCCAUGGCCUGUAAACCUCUUUUGUCAAGGAAGAAUAAAUUGCACGUGUGCGAUCUUGCCAGUACUUGACGAAUAAGCAUCGGCUAACUCCGUGCCAGCAGCCGCGGUAAUACGGGGGAUGCGAGCGUUAUCCGGAUUUAUUGGGUUUAAAGGGCGCGUAGGCGGGACGCCAAGUCAGCGGUAAAAGACUGCAGCUAAACUGUAGCACGCCGUUGAAACUGGCGCCCUCGAGACGAGACGAGGGAGGCGGAACAAGUGAAGUAGCGGAGAAAUGCUUAGAUAUCACUUGGAACCCCGAUAGCGAAGGCAGCUUCCCAGGCUCGAUCUGACGCUGAUGCGCGAGAGCGUGGGUAGCGAACAGGAUUAGAUACCCUGGUAGUCCACGCCGUAAACGAUGCUCACUGGAUCUUGGCGAUACACUGCCAGGGUUCAAGCGAAAGUAUUAAGUGAGCCACCUGGGGAGUACGUCGGCAA